RNAcentral lists this ribosomal RNA (509 nucleotides) under uncultured bacterium. RNAcentral's name for it is "partial 16S ribosomal RNA". It matches the Rfam family "Bacterial small subunit ribosomal RNA", at positions 899 to 1397 of the family's 1533-position model. The record is from RNAcentral.
ACUCAAAGGAAUUGACGGGGGCCCGCACAAGCGGUGGAGCAUGUGGUUUUCAAUUCGACGCAACGCGAAGAACCUUACCUGGGUUUGAACUACUGGAAGUAGCUCUUUUGAAAGAUUGAGCGACCUGUAAAGUCAGGAGCCAGCAGAGGUGCUGCAUGGCUGUCGUCAGCUCGUGUCGUGAGAUGUUGGGUUAAGUCCCGCAACGAGCGCAACCCUUAUCCUAUGUUGCCACGUCCGUAAAGGACAGCACUCUUAGGAAACUGCCUCGGAUAACGGGGAGGAAGGUGGGGAUGACGUCAAGUCCUCAUGGCCUUUAUGUCCAGGGCUACACACGUGCUACAAUGGCCGGUACAACGAGCAGCAAAUCCGCAAGGAGGAGCAAAUCUCUAAAAGCCGGCCCCAGUUCAGAUCGUGGGCUGCAAUUCGCCCGCGUGAAGGCGGAAUCGCUAGUAAUCGGAGAUCAGCUGGCUCCGGUGAAUACGUUCCCGGGCCUUGCACACACCGCCCGU